RNAcentral lists this ribosomal RNA (253 nucleotides) under uncultured bacterium. RNAcentral's name for it is "partial 16S ribosomal RNA". It matches the Rfam family "Bacterial small subunit ribosomal RNA", at positions 524 to 776 of the family's 1533-position model. The record is from RNAcentral.
UACGGAGGGAGCAAGCGUUACUCGGAAUUAUUGGGCGUAAAGGGCGCGUAGGCGAUUUGAAAAGUCUUGUGUGAAAGCCCCGAGCUUAACUCGGGAAGUGCACAAGAAACUGUUGAAUUUGAGUUCCGGAGAGGAAGGCAGAAUUCCCGGUGUAGCGGUGAAAUGCGUAGAUAUCGGGAGGAAUACCAGUGGCGAAGGCGGCUCACUGGCCCGGUACUGACGCUGAGGUGCGAAAACGUGGGGAGCAAACAGG